GUGGGGAAUCUUGCGCAAUGGGCGAAAGCCUGACGCAGCCAUGCCGCGUGUAUGAUGAAGGUCUUAGGAUUGUAAAAUUCUUUCACCGGGGACGAUAAUGACGGUACCCGGCGAAGAAGCUCCGGCUAACUUCGUGCCAGCAGCCGCGGUAAUACGAAGGGGGGUAGCGUUGCUCGGAAUUACUGGGCGUAACGGGCGCGUAGGCUGACAGCUUAGUCAGAGGUGAAAGCCCAGGGCUCAACCUUGGAAUUGCCUUUGAUAAUGGCUGGCUUGAGUACGGGAGAGGUGAGUGGAACUCCGAGUGUAGAGGUGAAAUUCGUAGAUAUUCGGAAGAACACCAGUGGCGAAGGCGACUCACUGGCCCGCUACUGACGCUGAGGCGCGAAAGCGUGGGGAGCAAACAGGAUUAGAUACCCUAGUAGUCC
RNAcentral lists this ribosomal RNA (425 nucleotides) under uncultured bacterium. Its description in RNAcentral is "partial 16S ribosomal RNA". It matches the Rfam family "Bacterial small subunit ribosomal RNA", at positions 354 to 796 of the family's 1533-position model. The record is from RNAcentral.